GCGCGCCCGCGUGUGGGCUCCUUUGCAGAGGACUCGGUAGCUGCAGCUCCCGGAGCACAGCGGACAGAGCUGCGGGCUGCGUGCGCCCCUGCUGCCACCGGGCCUGCCGCGGUGGCUCCCGCGCCCCGCGGCGACUUCCGCUCCCGCGCUUCUCUUUGUUCAAGUCCCCGAGCGGCGGCGGGGUCGGAGCCCGCGCCUUGGGCGACUGAGGCGGCCGCAGUCCGCGCCCCGGCGCCCUGGCGAUGCCGGACCAGAUCUCUGUGUCGGAAUUCGUGGCCGAGACCCUUGAGGACUACAAGGCGCCCACUGCCUCUAGCUUCACGCGCACGGCCCAGUGCCGGAACACCGCGGCGGCCAUCGAGGAGGCUACACUUGGGAAAACCAUCAUAUUGAAAGACAUUGUCAAAGUUCAAGAAGAAAUGAAAGGUUUAGUCUCCACUGCCAGCUGCCAUAGGCAAGCAGAACAGCAAGCUGGGUCCUGAGGUGCUGCAGGACCUGCGGAAACACAGGGAGUUCACUGACCAUGAGCUUCAGGAGUGGUAGAAGGACUCCCUCAAUGACUGUCCCACUGGCUACCUGACUGUGGACAAUUUUAAGAUCUAGGCCAACUUCUUCCCCUACAGAGACACCUCCAAGAUCACUGAACAUGUCUUCCACACCUUUGUCACCAACAGUGACGUCUCCAUCGACUUCCGAGUGUUCAUCAUUGCUCUGAGCCUGACCUCUCGGGGCAAGCUGGAACAGAAGGUCAAGUGGGCCUUCAGCAUGUCUGACCUAGACAGCAAUGGCUACAUCAGCUUCAGUGAAAUGCUGGAGUUAGUGCAGGUACCUGCACUUGACAGGGCCUGGCACAUGGGGAGUGCAGGCAUCCAGGACCCCCAUCCCCAGCCCCAUACACCAGGUCAUUCCUCUGCCCUCUUGCUACCUGGUGUACUAAAGGACUGCAUGUCUUUGCACAGAAUAACAAUAAAAGCCAAGCAUCUAUCGAUUGCUUGCUGGACAUC
RNAcentral lists this long non-coding RNA (1004 nucleotides) under Mus musculus (house mouse). Its description in RNAcentral is "RIKEN cDNA 2410018L13 gene". Lineage: Eukaryota; Metazoa; Chordata; Mammalia; Rodentia; Muridae. The record is from RNAcentral.